GGAAACCGAGUCUUAACCGGGCGUUAAGUUGCAGGGUAUAGACCCGAAACCCGGUGAUCUAGCCAUGGGCAGGUUGAAGGUUGGGUAACACUAACUGGAGGACCGAACCGACUAAUGUUGAAAAAUUAGCGGAUGACCUGUGGCUGGGGGUGAAAGGCCAAUCAAACCGGGAGAUAGCUGGUUCUCCCCGAAAGCUAUUUAGGUAGCGCCUCGUGAAUUCAUCUCCGGGGGUAGAGCACUGUUUCGGCUAGGGGGCCAUCCCGGCUUACCAACCCGAUGCAAACUGCGAAUACCGGAGAAUGUUAUCACGGGAGACACACGGCGGGUGCUAACGUCCGUCGUGAAGAGGGAAACAACCCAGACCGCCAGCUAAGGUCCCAAAGUCAUGGUUAAGUGGGAAACGAUGUGGGAAGGCCCAGACAGCCAGGAUGUUGGCUUAGAAGCAGCCAUCAUUUAAAGAAAGCGUAAUAGCUCACUGGUCGAGUCGGCCUGCGCGGAAGAUGUAACGGGGCUAAACCAUGCACCGAAGCUGCGGCAGCGACACUCAGGUGUUGUUGGGUAGGGGAGCGUUCUGUAAGCCUGUGAAGGUGGCCUGUGAGGGUUGCUGGAGGUAUCAGAAGUGCGAAUGCUGACAUAAGUAACGAUAAAGCGGGUGAAAAGCCCGCUCGCCGGAAGACCAAGGGUUCCUGUCCAACGUUAAUCGGGGCAGGGUGAGUCGACCCCUAAGGCGAGGCCGAAAGGCGUAGUCGAUGGGAAACGGGUUAAUAUUCCCGUACUUGGUGUUACUGCGAAGGGGGGACGGAGAAGGCUAUGUUGGCCGGGCGACGGUUGUCCCGGUUUAAGCGUGUAGGUGUGUGUUCCAGGUAAAUCCGGUUCACUUUAACACUGAGGCGUGAUGACGAGGCGCUACGGUGCUGAAGCAACAAAUGCCCUGCUUCCAGGAAAAGCCUCUAAGCAUCAGGUAACAUCAAAUCGUACCCCAAACCGACACAGGUGGUCAGGUAGAGAAUACCAAGGCGCUUGAGAGAACUCGGGUGAAGGAACUAGGCAAAAUGGUGCCGUAACUUCGGGAGAAGGCACGCUGACACGUAGGUGAAGUGAUUUACUCAUGGAGCUGAAGUCAGUCGAAGAUACCAGCUGGCUGCAACUGUUUAUUAAAAACACAGCACUGUGCAAACACGAAAGUGGACGUAUACGGUGUGACGCCUGCCCGGUGCCGGAAGGUUAAUUGAUGGGGUCAGCGCAAGCGAAGCUCCUGAUCGAAGCCCCGGUAAACGGCGGCCGUAACUAUAACGGUCCUAAGGUAGCGAAAUUCCUUGUCGGGUAAGUUCCGACCUGCACGAAUGGCGUAAUGAUGGCCAGGCUGUCUCCACCCGAGACUCAGUGAAAUUGAACUCGCUGUGAAGAUGCAGUGUACCCGCGGCAAGACGGAAAGACCCCGUGAACCUUUACUAUAGCUUGACACUGAACAUUGAGCCUUGAUGUGUAGGAUAGGUGGGAGGCUUUGAAGUGUGGACGCCAGUCUGCAUGGAGCCGACCUUGAAAUACCACCCUUUAAUGUUUGAUGUUCUAACGUGGACCCGUGAUCCGGGUUGCGGACAGUGUCUGGUGGGUAGUUUGACUGGGGCGGUCUCCUCCUAAAGAGUAACGGAGGAGCACGAAGGUUGGCUAAUCCUGGUCGGACAUCAGGAGGUUAGUGCAAUGGCAUAAGCCAGCUUGACUGCGAGCGUGACGGCGCGAGCAGGUGCGAAAGCAGGUCAUAGUGAUCCGGUGGUUCUGAAUGGAAGGGCCAUCGCUCAACGGAUAAAAGGUACUCCGGGGAUAACAGGCUGAUACCGCCCAAGAGUUCAUAUCGACGGCGGUGUUUGGCACCUCGAUGUCGGCUCAUCACAUCCUGGGGCUGAAGUAGGUCCCAAGGGUAUGGCUGUUCGCCAUUUAAAGUGGUACGCGAGCUGGGUUUAGAACGUCGUGAGACAGUUCGGUCCCUAUCUGCCGUGGGCGCUGGAGAACUGAGGGGGGCUGCUCCUAGUACGAGAGGACCGGAGUGGACGCAUCACUGGUGUUCGGGUUGUCAUGCCAAUGGCACUGCCCGGUAGCUAAAUGCGGAAGAGAUAAGUGCUGAAAGCAUCUAAGCACGAAACUUGCCCCGA
Molecule: ribosomal RNA, 2150 nt
Filed under: Salmonella enterica subsp. enterica serovar Oranienburg
Lineage: Bacteria; Pseudomonadati; Pseudomonadota; Gammaproteobacteria; Enterobacterales; Enterobacteriaceae
Description: partial 23S ribosomal RNA
Rfam family: Bacterial large subunit ribosomal RNA
Source: RNAcentral